This 819-nucleotide long non-coding RNA is filed under the name Homo sapiens (human). RNAcentral describes it as "HSALNT0356920". The record is from RNAcentral. Lineage: Eukaryota; Metazoa; Chordata; Mammalia; Primates; Hominidae.
CAAGGCCCCGCCCCCACAGCGGCCCUGCCCCACCUUUCAUUCAUUGAUAGCUUCGAGAAACUUUCAGGUUUCCUCACUGUGAAUUAUGAAUAUGAACUAUAUUAAAAUUACUGUAACCCAAUGUGCUUCAUGCACUAUCUGGCAUCCAAAGGAUCCUCUUUCGCCCAUGUUGGGGUUUUCGAAACUGGAAAGAAGACUGAUUUCUGCAGAGCAGCUUUCUAGAUGCAGCCCUGUUCACAUGUGACUGGUAUUUACCUUCUUUCAUCAAACAUGUCUUUAGAAUCGACUCAAGGCAAGAUGCAGUAGAGAAAUGUAAGAGCCAACUAGAGGAGCCAUUUAACUACUAGGUGCAUCUUCUCCAGCAAGUUCUUCAGCAUCCUUUCCAGAAGCAUUCGACAGCCAAGGAAGCAGGCUACGCCUCACCUACUCCUUCCUGGGCUAAAGAUCUCAGACUUAGUUGCUUAAUUUGGGAAAAAUAAAUUAAAGAAGUCUUCUAUCAUUAUACGCAACAUAGAAUAAUCUGUUUAAGAAAUUAUUUUUGAUCCUCCACAUUUUGAUGCCAAUCCCACAUUUGGUAAUAAUGAUUAUAUAUGCAAAUAUUUUUAGCCGAUUAAAUUGGAACAUAUUCUUUGAAACAACUUCAUGAUGAUUUUUGUUCUAAUCAGUAAGUUUAAUGGAAUAAUAAGGUAUUUUUGAUAAAGCACGUGAGUUAUUCUCAAUGAUUACAAGAUCUUACGACAUUGUAAUCAAAAUGGAUCAUUAGAGCCUGGCUUGGUGGCUCAUGCCUGUAAUCCCAGCACUUUGGGAGGACGAGGGAGG